AACGCACAUUGCGCCCCUUGGUAUUCCAUGGGGCAUGCUUGUUCGAGCGUCAUUUGUACCCUCAAGCUAUGCUUGGUGUUGGGUGUUUGUCCUUUCCGCGUGUUAGGACUCGCCUUAAAUUCAUUGGCAGCCGACGUAUUGGUUUGGAGCGCAGCACAAUUUGCGAGCCAGGCGAGUAUACCAGCGUCCAUUAAGCACAAUUAACACUUUUGACCUCGGAUCAAGUAGGGAUACCCGCUGAACUUAA
This 247-nucleotide unclassified non-coding RNA is filed under the name uncultured fungus. RNAcentral describes it as "partial contains 5.8S ribosomal RNA, internal transcribed spacer 2, and large subunit ribosomal RNA". The record is from RNAcentral. Lineage: Eukaryota; Fungi. RNAcentral also lists the same sequence under 1 other name.